AUCGUAGAAUGGCGUGGUUAUAUUUAUCUGCUCUUUGACUAAAAUGUUUAGCUGUAUUAUUGCUAAACAUGCCGUUUUUGAGAAUUUGAUUUUCAACUAGGUUGAGGCAUCCAACCACGCCAUCAAUCACAGCAAAAACAUUAGGUCACGUCAGCGAGUUUCCUAUCCAUUUAUUUUAUUAUCCAUGGUAUUAUUUAUUCGUUAAUAUUACAAGGUUUGAUCAGUAUUCCGUGAUUUUAUUUUGUUGUUUUUGCGGAGGAAAUCGGGAAAACCCCCAGUUAGAAUCUAUUUUUAUAGUCUGCGCGUGCGCAGUGCGUAGUGCGUGUUUGGUUGAGUUGCGCAUGCGUAUUCGCUACCAAGAUAAUGGCGGUUCGAAUAUUUCGAAGCGCGAAAAUAUCAAAAUUUGGAGGGAUUUUUCUCCCAAUUGUGCACCUGUUUCACUUGGGGAACAACGGAUUCUGAUAAAGUAAGUUUUUAUCUAUUUAUUCAUGUGAAAAUUACGUAGUUCCACGAGGGGUGCAACGGAAUUGCAUCUUUUGGAUGCUCAUCCUACGGCCUAGAUGUGAUUGCUCAUAUGAAGAGCUUAAAAUAAUUAUAACUUAUUAACUUGUAGGACAGUGGUGCCAAAAAAUUUUAUUGUCACAUUUGAAAGAACGUUUAAAAUUAUCUAUAAAAUCUUGUUACAGAUUAUUCCAAUCUUGUUGAUCUUCAAAUAGUUUAACCGAAAACAAUGAGCUGUCCGCUAUCUUGGAUUAAUCCAUAAACUCAUUAACUAUCGUUUUGGCGACGUCAGGAAUGGGGUUAACCUUACUUCUAAGUUGCUGAGUAACAAUGAAAAGUUGUUUACUUUAUGUUUUAUUCAAUUCGAAAUUUGAAAUAGCAACCAAAAGUGAUUUGCAGGUCCAUAUUGAUCACUGGCUGUUCAAGUAAAAAAACUUGCGUGAGCCCGCUUUGACGUAUCAUGCAUUGAUCCAGUUCACUGGUAUAUCUUCAAUAAUUCAAGAUUUUCAGGAGUUAUUAUAAGCACUUAAGCUUGAUAUGAAAAAUCUGUAACAACAUUUUAGAGAUCAUUAUAAACCUUCUUUAGUGAGAAAAUAAUUUUUUUGGUUGUCUUUAACUUUUAUACGAGAUAACUUAUUCGUAAGAAAUACAUUCAUAAACUUUAAUAGAUUUAUUUAUAGAUUAACAUAGAGAUAUGUUGUCGGAGCGAAAACGAACAGUUGACAAACUAACGCCAUUUUGGCGACAUAAAGUACAUUAAUUAGACGGAAAAUAAGGCGGAAAACACAUGGCCGCGUUGAAGUUGUU
Non-coding RNA from Paramuricea clavata, 1308 nucleotides. The record is from the annotation of a GenBank genome assembly. NCBI's taxonomy places the organism in Eukaryota, Metazoa, Cnidaria, Anthozoa, Malacalcyonacea, Plexauridae.